GGGCCCGCACAAGCGGUGGAGCAUGUGGUUUAAUUCGAUGAUACGCGAGGAACCUUACCAGGACUUAAAUGCACAAUGACAGAUUGGGAAACCAAUCCUUCUUCGGACAAUGUGCAAGGUGCUGCAUGGUUGUCGUCAGCUCGUGCCGUGAGGUGUUGGGUUAAGUCCCGUAACGAGCGCAACCCCUAUUCUUAGUUGCCAGCGGUUCGGCCGGGGACUCUAAGAAAACUGCCAGCGCAAGCUGUGAGGAAGGUGGGGAUGACGUCAAAUCAUCACGGCCCUUACGUCCUGGGCUACACACGUGCUACAAUGGGGAAUACAGACGGACGCUAAGCCGCGAGGUGGUGCU
Molecule: ribosomal RNA, 349 nt
Filed under: uncultured bacterium
Lineage: Bacteria
Description: bacterial SSU rRNA
Rfam family: Bacterial small subunit ribosomal RNA
Source: RNAcentral